GACUGAUCCCAUGCCAGGAAGUAUGGGGGAGAGACCCUUGAGGAGCUGGGGGAUGCAAUUCCCUCAUCACAAUAUUUUAAAACCCAUACUUCCAAACCUUUUGAAGGGAGAUUUCAUGGAAGAAAUGCGUUUGAGAAACAGCUGAAUGGGAGUGUGGAAGGGAAGUAAAAAAGAGAAAAUGGAUAGAAGAAAGGAUCAAAAACCAGGACCUGACAACAUGAUGUUUACAAGAAACAAACUGAAAAUGAGAGUGAAGGUGAGGAGCUGGAGCAGAAUAUACUAUACCGCAGCUGAUCCAGAAAAGGAAAAUGAAUGUUGGAGCCAGAUAAGAAACUAUAGGCUGCUUUCAAGAAGGUUACAAGAAAACUGCAUCUUGCAUUACUAAUCCUUUAUCUUCAUGUUAACAAAAAGAUUACUGACACAUUUUUGAAUGAAAGAAAAUAAAAUAGCAAAUGCAUCUUAGAAAAUGUUUAAC
This 475-nucleotide long non-coding RNA is filed under the name Monodelphis domestica (gray short-tailed opossum). RNAcentral describes it as "lncRNA (ENSMODG00000035675.2)". The record is from RNAcentral. Lineage: Eukaryota; Metazoa; Chordata; Mammalia; Didelphimorphia; Didelphidae.